GCUGAAGUGGGCAGAUCACUUGAGGUCAGGAGUUCAAGACCAGCCUGGCCAACAUGGUGAAACCCCGUCUCUACUAAAAAUACAAAAAUAUGCCGGGUGUGGUGGCAGGCGCCUGUAAUCCCAGCUACUUGGGAGGCUGAGGCAGGAGAAUUGCUUUAACCGGGGAGGCGGAGGUUGUAGUGAGCCGAGAUCAUGCCAUUGCACUCCAGCCUGAGCGACAGAGCGAGACUCUGUCUCAAAAAGAAAAAAAAAAAAAAAGAAAGAAAGAAAAAAGAUAAGCACCUUAGAGUGAACCGCCUGAUGGGUUCAGUGCUCAGGAAAGCUGAUGGGAAGGAGAGUGAAUGAAUGCCUGUGACUGGGGUCCAAAACAAACCACCUGUUCUGGGAUGCUUUGGGCAACAAAACAACAAAGGCCCCACUACACAGGAAAAUUCCCCGCCGGGUGCAGUGGCUCACACCUGUAAUCCCAGCACUUUGGAAGGCUGAGGAGGGCGGAUCACCUGAGAUCGGGAGUUCGAGACCAGCCUGGCCAACAUGGCGAAACCCCCGCCUCUACUAAAAAAAAAAAAAAAAAAAAAAAAUAGCUGGGCGUGGUGGUGCGCGCCUGUAAUCCCAGAUACUCCAGAGGCUGAGGCACGAGAAUCGCUUGAACCCGGCGGCAGAGGUUGGCAGUGAGCUGAGAUUGUGCCACUGCACUCCAGCCUGGGUGACAGAGCAAGACUCUGUCUCAAUUAAAAAAAAAAAAGAAAAGAAAAUUCCCAAGCAUCAGGGACAAACCCAUGUUCUACAUCUGGUGUCAAGAGACAAAAACAAACAUCUUAUAUGUACCCGGCAUCCAAUACGGGCUUAUUGAUUAUAUUUGUGUUCCAGAACAGGAACUGAAGGGUGUGCAGGAAGUGGUGAGGAACUUCUGAGCAAAUCUCAGUGUAGGACUCCUUCUGAGUUUUCGGUGAUAUUUGAUCAUCAACUGCUUAAGCCCAAAGAAGAAUGUUCCUGCCCCCUAGAUGUGCUGUUCUGGUUAUCCAAAUGACGGGGCUGUCAAGUGCGAGUUCUUAACCUGACUUUCAUGGAUGAACUUAAGGGGGAUCUGUAAAAUUGUUUUUUCUUUCUUUCUUUUCUUUUCUUUUUCUUUUUCCUUUUCUUUUUUUUUUGAGAUGGAGUCUCACUCUGUUGCCCAGGCUAGAGUGCAGUGGCACGAUCUUGGCUCAUUGCAACUUCCGCCUCCCAGGUUCAAGCAAUUCUCCUGCCUCAGCCUCUUGAGUAGCUGGGACUACGGGCGCAUGCCACCAUGCCCAGCUCACUUUUGUAUUUUUAGUAGAGACAGGGUUUAGUUGCCCAGGCUGGUCUUGAACUCCUGACCUCAGGUGAUCCACCCACCUCAUCCUUCCAAAGUGCUGGGAUUACAGGCGUGAGCCACCACACCCGGCCCUGUAAAAUUAAGUGUGUGUGUGCGCACAUGCAUGUGUGUGCACACACGCAUGUGUGCAUUGUUCCAGGGGAGAGUCCAUAGCUUUCAUCAGAAUCUCAAAAGGGUCCAAGAUGCCCCAAAAGGUUAAGAACUUCUGGUGUAGAAGCUUAAGGAUUAGAGCAGCUGAAGGAUUGUGAAGUAAUCAGCAAAUCAGGAUAUCAUACGGAAUGCUCACCAGCGACAGCCUUCUGUGCGGCCCACAGUUCCCAACUGACACUGUGGAGACUUCACAUCCUACGUGAAAUGCCGAGUCUCUCCCCAGAUCCUAAGUCUCUCCUUCUGUCUCCUCUCUGCUUCCUCUCCCUGACUCUCUAUUAUCCUCUCAUUUUCUUCUCUUCCUUGCUUUCUCCUCUUUCUCUCCCUCUUUUCCAUGCUCUCUUUCUUCAUUCCUAGCUGCUCUGAAGCAUAUUUUUAGUAUUCUUUGUAUUUUCCAAUAAACCUUAUAGAAUGGAGCAUUGUGUUUAUAUUUUUUUAAGCAGCUGAGCUGAGUGUUUUCUGUCACUCUAAGAAAAGAAAGUAGCAAAAUUACUUUUGGCUUUGAACUACCGUGUACAUGUGUCUGCAUAUCUGUUUGUGAUCACAUUUGCGCGUUCAUUCCUCUCUAGAAACUGUGCAGCCCAGCCGGGCGCGGUGGCUCACGCCUGUAAUCCCAGCACUUUGGGAGGCCAAGGCAAGUGGAUCACUUGAGAUCAGGAGUUCCAGACCAGCCUGGCCAACAUAGUGAGACCUUGUCUCUACUAAAAAUACAAAAAUUAGCUGGGUGUGGUGGUGCACACCUGUAAUCCAUAAUCCCAGCUGCUCGGGAGGCUGAGGUGGGAGGAUCACUUGAGCCUGG
This 2303-nucleotide long non-coding RNA is filed under the name Homo sapiens (human). RNAcentral's name for it is "HSALNT0407809". The record is from RNAcentral. Lineage: Eukaryota; Metazoa; Chordata; Mammalia; Primates; Hominidae.